Ochotona princeps (American pika) is the source of this 123-nucleotide ribosomal RNA. Lineage: Eukaryota; Metazoa; Chordata; Mammalia; Lagomorpha; Ochotonidae. The record is from Ensembl.
ACCCACAGCCAUAUCUCCCUGAACAUGCCCAGUCUUGUCUAAUCUCAGAAGCUAAGGAGGGUCAGGGCUGGUUAGUGCUGGGAGGGCAGUGUGGUGGUUCUUCAUGUAAAGCUGCUGUGGAGC